This is a long non-coding RNA of Esox lucius (northern pike), 2741 nucleotides long. The record is from Ensembl. NCBI's taxonomy places the organism in Eukaryota, Metazoa, Chordata, Actinopteri, Esociformes, Esocidae.
GAGCAACAGCCCCACUGUUAUCUGAUCCCCUGUUUUGGAGCCACUGUCGCAGCCAACAUAUCAUGGCAGCUUUAAGACUUAUAUGGCUUGGCAUUUUAUCAAAAUACAUCCUUGUUGAAUGUCAAAACAAAUGCGAAGAUACAGGUAAAGUAUACAUUUUAAUGUUAAUGAAAAAACAUGGAAUGAUGAAUAGAUUACGUUUUUGGUAAGCAUGGCAAGAAUUAUUACCUUAGUUCAACACUUGCAAAAUAUAAAUAUAAGUUUACUGCAUUGUGAAUGCAAUUUGUUUUUUAAAGGUAACUUUGUCGAGAUCCCUUAUUGAAAGCUUGUCUACGCAGGGUCUGAGUCACGUCUCAGAAAAAGAAGUUGUGUAUCCAUUUACAAAACCUUUCAAAAGUAUUCACACCCAUUUGACAUAUUAUUGUGUUUCAACGUGAUAUAAAAAUUAAUUAUAUUAGGAGUUAUUGCCACUGAUCAACACAAAAAGUCCAUUAUCUCAAAUUGAAAAAUAAAACCUGUAAAUUGUGAAUCCUUUUGAAAGGCACUGUAACAGCCUUUAAACAGUACAUCAAUGUUGUAUGGUCAUAUAAAGUGUACUUUUAUAGCUAUGUAUGUGAAAAAACAACCUAUUAAGCUUGGUAUCAAUAUUAGGCUAUGACACUGUGUACAAUGCACUUAUAAAACAAAAAUGGUAUUCUUAAUAAUUAGCAUACUAAUCCUUAAGGCUUUAUACUUCAUUCAAUUAAAACUUAAUGGUGGCCUCUUACUGAGUCAUUUGUUAUAUUUAGAGAUGUACCCUGCAAAGCCCUCUGGACCAUCUAAUGUGACUGAAGGGACCACAAUACAUUUCAAGUGUCAAACUAAUAGCAUCACUAUAAGCGGGGACAUGGUUCAUUUUUACCUUUGCAAGGAUGGAGUUGGGAUACAAAUGGCACCAAUGAAGAAAGGUGCUGAAUCUAUUUUCUUGUUAAAAGAAGUAAAAAAACAAGACUCGGGCAAGUACAGCUGUGUGUACAGCAAAUGUAAACACCCAGUCAGUCAAGUGAAGUCAACAGGGGAUUAUCUGGUCUUAUGGGUCAACAGAGACGAAGAUGUGGAAGGUGGACAAAAGACAAAAGACGUUUUCUUUGUCCCCAUAUUAUUGUCAGUGUCAAUUCUGCUUUUAGUUUUACUCUGGAGUUGCUUGGGCAUCGUGAAACAAAAGAUAUGUAGUGACCAUAGACCAAGUGAGAUUCAGGAUAUGGGUCAAACCUACAGUGGAAUCUCUUCUGUACCAGUUGAUGUCACUAGUGAGAUCCCUCUUGAUGUUGAAGAAGCAGCCUAUUCUGUGAUAGAUAAUUGGAGAGGAUUGAGACCAUCACUUACACAAAGUCAUGGGAUCGGAUGUGCAUCACUCUCAAAAAGAUCCUACAGGAGAGGAGGCAAAAUGCAGUUCACUACAAACUACAGCGAUAAGACCAGAAACACAAGUUGAAAAUGCCACCUAUGCCCAAGUGAUCAAAACCAAGAAGAAAGGAAAUGAGCCUGUGUACAGUCUUCUGAUGAAAAAAUAGAGGACAUUGUGCUACUGUCAACUUUGUCAUUCCAGUUUAUAAAAUAGUAUUCAGUGUGCCUUGAAAGGAUGUAAACACCUUGUGCAAUUAUAGCUCUUUAGUUUUCAACCGUGAAAUGUUUAAUUGAUGAGAACCUUUUUUCAUCUGACAAAACAGCUUUAUAGUUACCUAUUGCAUUUGUUGGUUUAUAGGAAAUCAUGCAUUUAGUAGAUAAAUAAAAUACAAAAUUAAUUAAUGUAGAUGCAAAAAUAAAUAUAGCUCAAUCUGAAGUGGUUAAAUCCAGUAGGUAAGUAGAAUCAGGUCUGUAAUUAAUUGGGUAACAAAUGAACCCAUCGAAGUAGGGAUCUGUAGGAAAGAGUUUAAGUGGGACAUGCAACCUGGUCAGUUUGGUGUUACCCAUACAGGUAAAUGCAAAAAAACACCAUGCCAAAGUAAAGGAGUUCUCUGCGAACAUCAAGAAGAGGGUAAUGUGAGCAAAUCAGUCUGAGGAAAGCUAUACAACCAUCUAAAAAGGUAUGCUCCAGUAGUCCACUGUGAAGCAAUCAUUUACAGAUGGAAAGCAAUUAACAUCACCGCAACUCAGCUUAGAAGUGGAUGUCCUUCCAAAAUAUCCCCUAGAGCCCCUGGUCAACUGCACGUCAUCAACUUUAUAAUGAAUUCUGAGGUUUCCCAGGAGUUUCUUGAACAGAAUGUAAGGCCAUCAGUCAAUAAUGGAUGGCCUUACAAGACAAUGACGAAACUAUUUGUGUUUUGGAUUGGCCAAACCAUAGUUCUAACCGUAAUCCAAUUCCAAUGGUUUGGCAGGAUUUGAAGCGUGCAGUAAAUGCCAGACAACCCUCAAACCUCACCCAAUUGGUGGAGAUCCAUAAAGAGGAGUGACCAAAAAUCUUUACCAGAGACAUUAAAUCAAAGUUAUCACUGCUAAUUGAGGUGACAAAAGCUAUUAAAUUAAGGGGUUUCACAUAUUUUUGUACACAUUAAAUCACUUUUGUAAAAUGAACAAUGAACAUAUAUGCUUUUGUUUGUGUCCUUUAUUUGUCUUUAUUACAAAUUAGGGUUUCACAAAGGUUUUUGGGAGUUUAUUUUAAUAUGUUAUACCAAAAUAAUGACCAUAUUGUAAAUAAAUGUUACCAUUGCAUUUUACCGUUAUUUACUUUACAUUUGACAUAUAUUUUUCAGAAUGACAGU